This 524-nucleotide ribosomal RNA is filed under the name uncultured bacterium. RNAcentral describes it as "bacterial SSU rRNA". It matches the Rfam family "Bacterial small subunit ribosomal RNA", at positions 355 to 896 of the family's 1533-position model. The record is from RNAcentral.
UGGGGAAUCUUAGACAAUGGGGGCAACCCUGAUCUAGCCAUCCCGCGUGAGUGAUGAAGGCCUUAGGUCCCCAAAGCUCUCUCAUCGGGGAAGAUAAGGUCGUUUCCAGCGGAAGUAGCCCGGGGCAAGUAGGGUCCAGCAGGAAAAAUAAUGAGGAGGGGAAGCAGGCCCGUGGGACUUGGAGGGCGUAAAGCGCAAUAAGGGAGUCCGGAAAGGGGUGGGUGAAAUCCCGGGUCUCAACCUAGGACAUGCCUUCGAGGGACGGCCUGGGGCGUUCGAAAGAGGUGAGUGGAAUUGAAAUUGUAGAGCCGAAACUAGUCGAUCCAGAGAGGAACACCAGUCCAGAAGGCGGCUCACUGGUCAGGAACGAAAGUUGAGGGGUGAAAGCCGGUGGAGCAAACUGGUAGAUAUGCCCAUGUAGUGACACCCCCUAAAGGAGGAAUGGCAGUAGUCGCAUGGCAUGCAAUUCAGUGACACGGGAANNCAAAGAAGCAUUCUCCGGGGGGAGUACGGUCGCAAGAUUA